This 155-nucleotide ribosomal RNA is filed under the name uncultured Escherichia sp. Its description in RNAcentral is "partial 16S ribosomal RNA". It matches the Rfam family "Bacterial small subunit ribosomal RNA", at positions 380 to 528 of the family's 1533-position model. The record is from RNAcentral. Lineage: Bacteria; Pseudomonadati; Pseudomonadota; Gammaproteobacteria; Enterobacterales; Enterobacteriaceae.
AGCCUGAUGCAGCCAUGCCGCGUGUAUGAAGAAGGCCUUCGGGUUGUAAAGUACUUUCAGCGGGGAUGAAGGGAGUAAAGUUAAUACCUUUGCUCAUUGACGUUACCCGCAGAAGAAGCACCGGCUAACUCCGUGCCAGCACCGCGGUAAUACCA